CGGAAGAACUCUGUCUCUGAUUGGCAGGAGAGUCACGAACCGGUCAGCCCCGGGUCAGGGGCCGCAAGUGAGGACACUACAAGUGUCGAGGGGCCUAGGGGAAGCCGGGGCUUGGGAGGGCAGGGCUUUCUCUGCUUGCGGACAUCGCGAAGGGCCUCUGGCAGGCGCCGCCGGGUGGCGGCGAGACGCCUCCGCGCCUCCGGGGUUCCUUGUUCGCUGUCGGAGGAGGACCGGCUGAGGGAUGGCCUGGUGGGGAGGGAGCCCUCGGGCAGGUGGCUGCGUCGGGCCUGGGGCAGUUGUGCUGCGCUUGGAGACCUGCCCGCCCUCGGGGCCUGUGUGCACAGGGAGGAUAGGCUGUUUAUCUCUGCAGGCUCAGGAAGGCAGUUCUGUAGUCAGAAGUCCAACAUGGUUCUCAAUGGCCUAAAAUCAAGGUGUCCACAGGAUUGUGUUCCUUUCUAGAGAGCAAGCUGCAGUGUGGUAAACUGCCUUUGAAAGAGACCCACAUGUCAAGAAACUGAGCAUCACCUGUGACCAACAGCCAGAAAGUAACUGAAGCCCCAAGACGAACAGCUUGUGCAAAACUAAAUUCUGCCUACAACAAGAGCAUGAAUUGAGACGCAGAUCCUUCCCUAGUUGAUCCUUGAAAUGCUUGCAGCUCUAUGGACACCUUGAUUGCAGCCUUGUGAGAAAUUCUGAACUAGAGGACCUCGUAUGCCUUACCCAUAGGUCUUACAAGAUAAUACGUGUUUUUCAAAAAAGUAAGUUUGGGGAUAAUUUC
RNAcentral lists this long non-coding RNA (778 nucleotides) under Homo sapiens (human). RNAcentral's name for it is "non-protein coding lnc-ZFHX4-6:1". Lineage: Eukaryota; Metazoa; Chordata; Mammalia; Primates; Hominidae. The record is from RNAcentral.